UUGACGGGGAGCACCACAACGGGUGGAGCUUGCGGUUUAAUUGGAUUCAACGCCGGAAAUCUUACCGGGACCGACAGCAAUAUGAAGGCCAGGCUGAAGACUUUGCCGGAUUAGCUGAGAGGUGGUGCAUGGCCGUCGUCAGUUCGUACUGUGAAGCAUCCUGUUAAGUCAGGCAACGAGCGAGACCCACGCCCACAGUUGCCAGCGUACUCUCUGGAGUGACGGGUACACUGUGGGGACCGCCGCUGCUAAAGCGGAGGAAGGAAUGGGCAACGGUAGGUCAGUAUGCCCCGAAUAUCCCGGGCUACACGCGAGCUACAAUGGUUGGUACAAUGGGUAUCUACCCCGAAAGGGGACGGGAAUCUCCUAAAACCAAUCUUAGUUCGGAUUGAGGGCUGCAACUCGUCCUCAUGAAGCUGGAAUCCGUAGUAAUCGCGUUUCAACAGAACGCGGUGAAUACGUCCCUGCUCCUU
This 473-nucleotide ribosomal RNA is filed under the name uncultured Methanosaeta sp. RNAcentral's name for it is "bacterial SSU rRNA". It matches the Rfam family "Archaeal small subunit ribosomal RNA", at positions 871 to 1337 of the family's 1478-position model. The record is from RNAcentral. Lineage: Archaea; Methanobacteriati; Methanobacteriota; Methanomicrobia; Methanotrichales; Methanotrichaceae.